Molecule: ribosomal RNA, 1281 nt
Filed under: Triticum aestivum (bread wheat)
Lineage: Eukaryota; Viridiplantae; Streptophyta; Magnoliopsida; Poales; Poaceae
Description: partial small subunit ribosomal RNA
Source: RNAcentral
AUGCCUCCCUAUUCACCUCAAUCAAAUGGAGUGGCCGAGAGGAAAAACCGCACAUUGACUGACUUGGUGAAUGCCAUGUUAGACACUGCUGGUUUAUCUAAGGCAUGGUGGGGGGAGGCUCUAUUGACUUCAUGUCAUGUCCUGAAUAGAGUUCCCAACAAUAAUAAAGAGAAAACCCCUUAUGAGGAGUGGGUUGGGAGAAAACCAUCAUUUUCUUAUUUGCGCACUUGGGGAUGUUUGGCAAAGGUCAAUAUUCCUAUUCCUAAGAAACGCAAACUUGGACCAAAGACAGUGGAUUGUGUCUUUCUAGGGUAUGCUCAACGGAGCAUUGCUUAUAGGUUUUUAGUGGUAAAAUCUGAAAAGGAUAACAAUGAAGUUCCUAGAAGGAACAAGAGACAAAGGAUUGCAAAAUCUUUUGGUGAUGAUUUCAUUGUAUACCUUGUGGACAACACACCCAAGACGAUUGCAGAAGCAUAUGCAUCUCCGGAUGUAGAUGAUUGGAAAGAAGCUGUUCAUAAUGAGAUGGACUCAAUUCUUUCUAAUGGAACUUGGGAACUAACUGAUAGACCAUAUGGUUGUAAACCUGUGGGCUGUAAGUGGGUGUUCAAAAAGAAGCUAAAGCCUGAUGGUACUAUUGAUAAGUACAAGGCGCGGCUAGUGGCCAAGGGCUACACUCAGAAAGAAGGCGAAGAUUACUUUGACACCUAUUCACCCGUUGCUAGAAUGACCACCAUUCGAGUGUUACUUUCCUUGGCUGCCUCUUAUGGUCUUAUCAUUCAUCAAAUGGAUGUAAAGACAGCUUUUCUCAAUGGAGAGUUGGAAGAGGAGAUCUAUAUGGAUCAGCCUGACGGGUUUGUGGUAAAGGGUGAAGAGAGAAAGGUGUGCAAGUUGUUAAAAUCUUUGUAUGGUCUGAAACAGGCACCUAAGCAAUGGCAUGAGAAGUUUGAAAGAACUUUGACUUCUGCAGGAUUUGUCAUUAACGAGGCUGAUAGGUGUGUUUACUAUCGCCAUGGUGGGGGCAAUAGUGUCAUAUUAUGUUUGUAUGUGGACGACAUACUGAUCUUUGGUACAAACAUUAAUGCAAUUAAUGAGGUCAAGUCUUUUCUAUCAAAAAGUUUUGACAUGAAAGAUCUGGGAGAAGCCGAUGUAAUUCUAAACAUCAAACUUAUUAAGGAUGAGAGUGGGAUUACAUUAACGCAAUCUCACUAUGUUGAGAAGGUCUUGAACCGAUUCGGUUUUAUGGAUAGCAAGCCUUCUCCAACCCUUAUGAUCCCAGCGUGA